CCGCUUGCCUCGCCCAGCGCAGCCCCGGCCGCUGGGCGCACCCGUCCCGUUCGUCCCCGGACGUUGCUCUCUACCCCGGGAACGUCGAGACUGGAGCGCCCGAACUGAGCCACCUUCGCGGACCCCGAGAGCGGCGGCGCGACUCACCGCGGAGGCGCCCGGACGCGUCAAUGUCCCCCAGGGCAAGGCCUGAACCAGGUCGCGAGGGUCUGUCUCCCGUCUGGGGAGCUGAACUGCCCGAGACACUGUCGCAGUCGCGGGGACUUGUCUGGAGCGGCGGGGUCUGAGCCCAAGUCGGAAGCCGCCGCCGCCGCCAGCGUCCCGUGCGCCUGCCGCCCCGGGACCAGCCGCGAAACUUCUUCUCGGGACGGAGACAGCGCUCGCCGCCCGGGCCGAGGCCCAGCCCAAUAGGAAGCACCUGAUCCACACUCUUUCUAGCCCCAGGGAUGCUCAGGAAAGCAGCCUUUCUUUAGGGCUGUCAUCUGUUCUGGGGAUCUGUUGCUGUUUCUUGGGCCCACAGAAUACACUCCACACCUCGGGACUCCAUAAUAUUGGACAAGGCUGGAAGGCCCAUUUGGCUCCUGCAGCCUCUUAUGCAGGAGGACCUCCUGAGGCUUCGGGCAGGAGCUGGUGCACACCUGGAGGAGAGUGCUGGUGAAUGGCAGGUGUGUGCCUCAGUGUCCUUGCUGCCAGGGUGUCAGCCCUGCUUCACCACUGGCCGUUUGUCUCUGUCCCCUCCACUGGCCUCUUGAAGCACAGAGACCCUCCGGGUACUUUCCUUCCUCUGGGCUUCCACUCAUGCUAUUCCCUGCUCCCUUUUUCUACCUGGAGACCCCCAUUCCUCCUCCUCCUCUGCUGCCCUCACCUCCACCUGGGCCCUCCCAGCUCCCGGGAGAUGGCUGAACCCCACUCCCCACCCGCUAGUCAUCCUCUUCAGCGGUCCUCCCAGAGCUGUCCUCAGCAUGGCAGCCUCCACAGCCCCUGGGUGUCACCCCCGGUUUCGUGUCUGCCUCGGACUCCAGACCUGCCCCUCCCAGGCUGGCCCAGAUGGAUCCUCUACAGUGACUAACCCAAACCAGCACCAGGCAGGGACCCAAUAAACCUUUGUGAAUGGAGUAAAAAAAAAAAAAAAAAAAAAAAAAAAAAAA
This 1148-nucleotide long non-coding RNA is filed under the name Homo sapiens (human). Its description in RNAcentral is "DIO3 opposite strand upstream RNA, transcript variant 6 (DIO3OS)". The stretch from base 31 to 104 matches the Rfam family "mir-1247 microRNA precursor family". Lineage: Eukaryota; Metazoa; Chordata; Mammalia; Primates; Hominidae. The record is from RNAcentral.